GAGUUUGAUCAUGGCUCAGAUUGAACGCUGGCGGCAGGCCUAACACAUGCAAGUCGGGCGGUAGAGAGAAGCUUGCUUCUCUUGAGAGCGGCGGACGGGUGAGUAAUGCCUAGGAAUCUGCCUGGUAGUGGGGGAUAACGCUCGGAAACGGACGCUAAUACCGCAUACGAUCUAAGGAUGAAAGUGGGGGCUUCGCAAGAACCUCAUGCUCCUGGAGCGGCCGAUAUCUGAUUAGCUAGUUGGUGGGGUAAAGGCCCACCAAGGCUUCGAUCAGUAGCUGGUCUGAGAGGACGACCAGCCACACUGGAACUGAGACACGGUCCAGACUCCUACGGGAGGCAGCAGUGGGGGAAUUUUGGACAAUGGGCGCAAGCCUGAUCCAGCAAUGCCGCGUGAGUGAAGAAGGCCUUCGGUGUAAGUACGUCUUUGUUCUAGGAGAAACGGUAGAGAGCGUAAUAUACUCUUGUC
Molecule: ribosomal RNA, 468 nt
Filed under: uncultured bacterium
Lineage: Bacteria
Description: bacterial SSU rRNA
Rfam family: Bacterial small subunit ribosomal RNA
Source: RNAcentral